AUGGUGGUGGUAGGGGGCGGGGACAGUGGCAAGGACAUUGCUUUGGACCUCUGCCACGUCGCCAGGGAGGUGCACCUCGCCGCCAGCUCCGAGGACGCCACGCCGGCCAUUUUGAGGAUGCUGGCCAACCACGGCGACGUCUUGCGCCUGCACCCGCGGAUACGCCAGCUACAUGCGGACGGGCGCGUGGAGUUCGCGGACGGCUCCUCUGUCGUGGCCGACACGGUCAUCUACUGCACGGGGUACGCCUACUCGUUCCCGUUCCUGGACACGGGCGGCGCGGUCACCGUGAGCGACGACGGCUACGUCGUGGGGCCGCUGUUCGAGCACGUGUUCCCGCCGUCCCUGGCGCCGUCGCUCUCCUUCGUGGGCGUGCCGAGGAAGAUCCCGAUCCCAUGGUUCUUGGAGGUGCAGGCGCGGUGGGUCGCGCAGGUGUUGUCCGGCCGCCGCGAGCUGCCGCCGGAGGAGGAGAUGCUACGGUCCGUAGAGGAGCACCUCCGCGCCAGGGAGGCCGCCGGUGUGCCAAGGAAGCUCACGCACAACAUCGGUAGCAUUGAACCUCACACAAUAUUCGAGUUUGGGGAGAAGUAUUGUGACUUCACACCGCUCGAGGAGUGGAAGAAGGAGCUCAUGGUGUCCAGCGUCGUGAGCAUGAUGGACGACGUGGAGACCUUCCGUGACCUCUCCAAUGACAGCGAGAACGUGCAGAAGGGCCUGCAGGAAUGGCGCUUGGGUGCUGCUGCUCAAGGUCAAGCAAAACCAAUAACAACUCCCGUAGACGCUGAAGGUGAUGGCUUUUAG
RNAcentral lists this ribosomal RNA (801 nucleotides) under Triticum aestivum (bread wheat). RNAcentral describes it as "partial small subunit ribosomal RNA". Lineage: Eukaryota; Viridiplantae; Streptophyta; Magnoliopsida; Poales; Poaceae. The record is from RNAcentral.